Labrus mixtus (cuckoo wrasse) is the source of this 648-nucleotide long non-coding RNA. RefSeq lists it as uncharacterized. NCBI's taxonomy places the organism in Eukaryota, Metazoa, Chordata, Actinopteri, Labriformes, Labridae. The transcript is spliced from 5 exons. The record is from RefSeq and is a predicted model, not a curated record.
GGUGGGGGGUUUGUUUCCACCUUUUCUCUCCAAGCUCAGCCCUCAACGGCCGCUUCAACACGACCGCAAUCGCAUCCAAUUGUGACGUCGCACUCUCCUGACAGAUGUUGAAAAGUAAGGAGACCGGUUAAGCGACAGGUCAGGGCUUGCUGAGAACCUGGAACCUCGGCUCCUUUGAUCUGCUCCCGGUGACAAACAGGACCACAGUUGGACAGCUGAAACUGACAGACCAUCAGGAGGACUGCCACCGUGCUAAUAGAACCAGGUGAAUCUGGAGGUGUCCGGGUCACAGAGGAGGCAGGGGCUGCUGGGAUUGGAGUCUCCUUCUUUGAAACACAUCCCGUCGACGUUGCACGUCUUCUCCUGGCAAGAAACAGCAUCAAGGUCUGACCUGGAUCAUGAACGCUCAGAGACAGCGGGACUGCACACUGGAGACUGUGGUCGGGGCUGAAGCAGGGGAUGGGCACCGUGCUGUGGACGGUCACCUCGUGCUCUUUACUGUUCUCUGCGAUGUGGAGCGAGUCCAGAGAAAACUGGAGAGAAAGACGACAUUAAAAGACAUCCGGUACUUCUAACCUGUGGACAUGCUGAGUGACAGGAAUGCAGCCUCACGAGCCAAGUGUGCACAAUCUUCUGAUUCAAACAGGC